CCUACGGGUGGCUGCAGUGGGGAAUAUUGCACAAUGGGGGAAACCCUGAUGCAGCGACGCCGCGUGAGCGAUGAAGUAUUUCGGUAUGUAAAGCUCUAUCAGCAGGGAAGAAAAUGACGGUACCUGACUCAUAAUCCCCGGCUAACUACGUUCCAGCAGCCGCGGUAAUACGUAGGGGGCCAGCGUUAUCCGGAUUUACUGGGUGUAAAGGGAGCGUAGACGGCUGUGCAAGCCAGAUGUGAAAGCCCGGGGCUCAACCCCGGGAUUGCAUUUGGAACUGUGUGGCUGGAGUGUCGGAGAGGUAGGCGGAAUUCCUAGUGUAGCGGUGAAAUGCGUAGAUAUUACGAGGAACACCAGUGGCGAAGGCAGCCUGCUGGACGAUGACUGACGUUGAGGCUCGAAAGCGUGGGGAGCAAACAGGAUUAGAUACCCCUGUAGUC
RNAcentral lists this ribosomal RNA (440 nucleotides) under uncultured bacterium. RNAcentral's name for it is "partial 16S ribosomal RNA". It matches the Rfam family "Bacterial small subunit ribosomal RNA", at positions 338 to 795 of the family's 1533-position model. The record is from RNAcentral.